GAAUAAUUUAUACAUAUUUUAUACAUCUUUUUUAAAAUUAAAUAUAUGUCUUAAACACUAAAACAAAAAAAUAUGCGAAUUUUUUAUGAAUAAUUUGAUGACUUAAAUUAUAAUGUUAUGAUAUUUGAGUUUUUUAAAAUUCAAAAUUCUAAAAUAUAAUGUAUUGAUAUUAUAAUAUGUUGUUUAAAAAAAAUUACAAUGAAAAAAAGAAAUAAAGAAAAUGACAGUUUUUAUGGAGAAAUAUGUGUUAAAUUUAUGAAAAAAA
RNAcentral lists this long non-coding RNA (265 nucleotides) under Lathyrus oleraceus (garden pea). Its description in RNAcentral is "Pisum sativum (pea) long non-coding RNA (PSAT_LNC006682)". The record is from RNAcentral. Lineage: Eukaryota; Viridiplantae; Streptophyta; Magnoliopsida; Fabales; Fabaceae.